GAAAUGCGAUAAGUAAUGUGAAUUGCAGAAUUCAGUGAAUCAUCGAAUCUUUGAACGCACAUUGCGCUCUUUGGUAUUCCGGAGAGCAUGCUUCUUUGAGAAUCAGUAAAUUCAUCAACCCCAGUUUCUUGGAAUUUUGUUCUGAGUAAUUGACGGUUGGAUAUGGGCCAUUUGCAACCUCACAGUAGCAAUAGCCUGAAAUUGAAUGUCACGCUCCUUUGGACUGAAAGGUCUUGGGCAAACGCAUGAAUGAGGCAACUCAGCAGUACGUAAGCCUUCGAGACUGAUCAUUUCAAAUAUUGUGUGACUCAACUGAUUACCCAGGACUUGUCAACGUCAGUUGACUUUUCUUGAACUCUUGGUCUCAAAUGAAGUAGGAAAACCCGCUGAACUUAA
This 396-nucleotide unclassified non-coding RNA is filed under the name uncultured Chytridiomycota. Its description in RNAcentral is "sequence contains ITS1". The stretch from base 1 to 105 matches the Rfam family "5.8S ribosomal RNA", at positions 50 to 154 of the family's 154-position model. The record is from RNAcentral. Lineage: Eukaryota; Fungi; Chytridiomycota.